RNAcentral lists this ribosomal RNA (914 nucleotides) under uncultured crenarchaeote. RNAcentral describes it as "bacterial SSU rRNA". It matches the Rfam family "Archaeal small subunit ribosomal RNA", at positions 1 to 922 of the family's 1478-position model. Lineage: Archaea; Thermoproteati; Thermoproteota. The record is from RNAcentral.
UUCCGGUUGAUCCUGCCGGACCUGACUGCUAUCGGAUUGAUACUAAGCCAUGCGAGUCAUUGUAGCAAUACAAGGCAUACGGCUCAGUAACGCGUAGUCAACCUAACCUAUGGACGGGAAUAACCUCGGGAAACUGAGAAUAAUGCCCGAUAGAACACUAUACCUGGAAUGGUUUGUGUUCCAAAUGAUUUAUCGCCAUAGGAUGGGACUGCGGCCUAUCAGUUUGUUGGUGAGGUAAUGGCCCACCAAGACUAUUACAGGUACGGGCUCUGAGAGGAGUAGCCCGGAGAUGGGUACUGAGACACGGACCCAGGCCCUAUGGGGCGCAGCAGGCGAGAAAACUUUGCAAUGUGCGAAAGCACGACAAGGUUAAUCCGAGUGAUUUGUGCUAAACGAAUCUUUUGUUAGUCCUAGAAACACUAACGAAUAAGGGGUGGGCAAGUUCUGGUGUCAGCCGCCGCGGUAAAACCAGCACCUCAAGUGGUCAGGAUGAUUAUUGGGCCUAAAGCAUCCGUAGCCGGCUCUGUAAGUUUUCGGUUAAAUCUGUACGCUUAACGUACAGGCUGCCGGGAAUACUGCAAAGCUAGGGAGUGGGAGAGGUAGACGGUACUCGGUAGGAAGUGGUAAAAUGCUUUGAUCUAUCGAUGACCACCUGUGGCGAAGGCGGUCUACCAGAACACGUCCGACGGUGAGGGAUGAGAGCUGGGGGAGCAAACCGGAUUAGAUACCCGGGUAGUCCCAGCUGUAAACUAUGCAAACUCAGUGAUGCAUUGGCUUGUGGCCAAUGCAGUGCUGCAGGGAAGCCGUUAAGUUUGCCGCCUGGGAAGUACGUACGCAAGUAUGAAACUUAAAGGAAUUGGCGGGGGAGCACCACAAGGGGUGAAGUCUGCGGUUCAAUUGGAUUCAACGCCGGG